Molecule: ribosomal RNA, 253 nt
Filed under: uncultured bacterium
Lineage: Bacteria
Description: partial 16S ribosomal RNA
Rfam family: Bacterial small subunit ribosomal RNA
Source: RNAcentral
UACGUAGGGGGCAAGCGUUGUCCGGAUUUACUGGGCGUAAAGAGCGCGUAGGCGGAGAUCUAAGCGUGGCCUGAAAGCCCCCGGCUCAACCGGGGAAGGUGGCUGCGAACUGGGUUUCUUGAGGACGAUAGAGGAGAGUGGAAUUCCUGGUGUAGCGGUGAAAUGCGUAGAUAUCAGGAGGAACACCCGAGGCGAAGGCGGCUCUCUGGGUCGUACCUGACGCUGAGGCGCGAAAGCGUGGGGAGCGAACGGG